GGGAAUUUUGUUUCUCUCUUCCAACAUUGGUUUUUAUUUCUUUUUUUGUUGGUUGUUUUGUUAAUAUUCUUUUGAGGUGAGAACUUGGUAUCUUUAUCUUGACGUGUUGACUAAUAGGAUCAGAUUAUUUUUUUUCUGAAAAGGCUGUUUUUGAGAAGUACACUUUUCUCUCUUAAUUUUUUUCUUAGAUGGGAGAUAUUUGACUUUAAUAAUUGAUUGUAAUAUCAUAUAUUCAUAAUUCUUUGGGUUAUUCAAGUUAAUCAAGCUUUGAGAAGAGUUACAUCUUGAAAUUCAAUACAGAUGAUCAAAAGUAUUUAUUUGGAUGCAGGUCAAGUUCAUUUUCUGUGUUUUCCACUCUUUUAUGUGUAACAUUGACUCAACUGUUAGUUGCAUGAUUUUGGAAAAUUAUGUAAUAUGUUUACAGGAGCGGAAAGCUAAAGAUGAUUCUCAAUUAUGUAGCUCUGUCAACAAUUAUAUAAAUCAUCCAUUUGGUAAAUACUUUUGUGUUUUGAGUCCUUUGUUAGCCAUUCUACUCUUCAUUAUUUUGUUCCUAACAUCUUGGCUUAUAUUUAAAUGCAAAGUUUAAUCUCUUAUGGUUUAAGAUUAGACUUUGCAUUUAAAUGCAAACAAUUUGAUGUAGUUGAUACAUCACUUUUGCUAAUUUCACAUCAGAAAGUUGUAAAAUUACUUUAUGGUCAACUCUCUCACAAAGUGUUUUUUUUUUUUAAUCUUGCAUCUAUAUUUAUCUCCUCCCAUUUCUAUAUUUUCAUAAAGAAAACCUCUAUUUCACAUAAAGAUCAUAUUAGACUAACUGGAUUUCCUGCUUUCUACUUCGUGUUUAUUUAUUUAUGUAUUUUAGUUGCCCACUCCGUAUGUGUGAACUAGACUUCUUGAAAUUUUACUAACCAGUUUUACACCUUCAAACUAAUGACCUGGCAUAUAACUUCAGCACUUAUUCAAGAGUGAAGGUUUUCCAUCAACAACGUCACUGCUUUAUCUUGUUGUCCAGCAGAGUUCCUUGAUGAAGAAGAGCCUGAUACUUCUACUCCUUUCCAAGUUUUUGAAGACAUGCUUGAAGAUAAUAUCUCAUCAAGGUAUAUUUAUUAUAACAAAGAAGCAUACUCAAAGAUGAUGCUUCAACUCUAAGGGUUGAUAUAGCAAGAGUAAGGAUAUAGAGCUAAGUAAUGUUUUGUUCUUUGAGACUAAGAGUCAAUGGAAUAGAAUGAGCCUUCCUUCUCUCCUUUUGGUCAAUCAUUUUGGAGAACCUAUGUUCUUGCCUUGAUAAAGACUCAUAUCUUAGUUAUUUGAGAAAUAUCAAUAAAUUUUCCAAAAUCAUUUCUUGACAAAAACAUCUCACUCACCUUAGCCCUUGUCAAACCCUUCAUCCCCUUAUGCCCUUGCACAAACUUCCAUGGGGUAAAUUCUAAAAAUUGGGGCAUCUUUUAUAUGGAAUUUAUAAUUAUAACGUGGUGUUUGUCUAUAAAUAUAGAUGUUUAAUGGUUGUGAUUCAUUGUAAAAUAACUUUAAAAAGGUUAAGGAGCACUUUUAUUACCAAAAAGAAAUGGUCCAUAAUAUGUUACGUGGCUAUUUUCUUUUAUUCUGAUGAGAUAUUUUCUCAUCACUCAAGAAUGGAAACUUAGUUAUAUCAAACCUUGGUGCAGAAGUAAUGAAUGAUGUAACCUCUUCAUCAGGACCAAUGAAAUUGGAAGAUUAGCAAAGAAUCCUAAGUAAUAUUGGUGCUAGAGGUAGUUCGGGUGAUCUAGAUGAAUGUAAUUAUUAAUGCUUAUUCUAUAUGUACUGUAAGCAAGUGGAUUCUUUUACUUAUGUAAGAAAUGUGAGGUUGAUCCUUCUUGUUCUGUUUCUUAUCCUUUUGAUGGUAGCCAAUUUUACAAGGUUUAACUUUCUUUUUGUUUGAAGGUGCUCCGAACUGGACAAAAUAGAUUUGUCUCAGUUUGGGAUCAACCCAAGUAAAUAUGAGUGGUUUAUGGCUCUAGAACCUGUAUCUUAACAAUGGUUAUUAAAUACAUGAUUUUCUCUAUAACAAAUCAUUUACUCAUGUUUAUCGGCAUUAACUAAAGUCUUUAGUUAAUUCUUUGUUGGGAAAUUCUAAUUAGGGUUGAUUGUACAAUUAAUGAUUAUAGAACCCUGUUCGGACUAACCUAAACAGCCUCUUCCUCGGCAAUCCUGGUUUAUCUUGAUUUACCCAAUACUGGUUUGGGCAUACAUCUAUGUAUAUUUUUUGUAGUUUCAAGAAGCCAACUCUAUGUAGGCAUGCAGAGAAUUUCCCACACCAAAUUAUAAUCAAAAUCGAUCCCUUUUAGUAAUCUAUUUUAUUUAAACAUACAGUCUGCCAAACCCAAUCCAGAAUACCAAAACAUCCUCUUAUUAAUUCAUGUAAAAACUAGGAAAACUCGUGAUGCUAUAAAUAAUAUACAAAAACAAAAACAAAACAGGGAGAAUAUAGUUUAUUAUUAUAUUCUCAGAGCAAUCAGUGAAGAAACUUCAUUAUUAUAUGUCACACAGAAGCUAAAAACAAAAA
Long non-coding RNA from Populus euphratica (Euphrates poplar), 2539 nucleotides. RefSeq lists it as uncharacterized. The record is from RefSeq and is a predicted model, not a curated record. The transcript has 2 exons. Lineage: Eukaryota; Viridiplantae; Streptophyta; Magnoliopsida; Malpighiales; Salicaceae.